RNAcentral lists this ribosomal RNA (496 nucleotides) under uncultured bacterium. Its description in RNAcentral is "partial 16S ribosomal RNA". It matches the Rfam family "Bacterial small subunit ribosomal RNA", at positions 28 to 507 of the family's 1533-position model. The record is from RNAcentral.
GAUGGACGCUGGCGGCGUGCCUAAUACAUGCAAGUCGAGCGAACAGACGAGGAGCUUGCUCCUCUGACGUUAGCGGCGGACGGGUGAGUAACACGUGGAUAACCUACCUAUAAGACUGGGAUAACUUCGGGAAACCGGAGCUAAUACCGGAUAAUAUAUUGAACCGCAUGGUUCAAUAGUGAAAGACGGUUUUGCUGUCACUUAUAGAUGGAUCCGCGCCGCAUUAGCUAGUUGGUAAGGUAACGGCUUACCAAGGCAACGAUGCGUAGCCGACCUGAGAGGGUGAUCGGCCACACUGGAACUGAGACACGGUCCAGACUCCUACGGGAGGCAGCAGAGGGAAUCUUCCGCAAUGGGCGAAAGCUUGACGGAGCAACGCCGCGUGAGUGAUGAAGGUCUUCGGAUCGUAAAACUCUGUUAUUAGGGAAGAACAGAUGUGUAAGUAACUAUGCACGUCUUGACGGUACCUAAUCAGAAAGCCACGGCUAACUACGUG